AGAGUUUGAUCCUGGCUCAGAUUGAACGCUGGCGGCAUGCCUUACACAUGCAAGUCGAACGGCAGCACGGGAGCAAUCCUGGUGGCGAGUGGCGAACGGGUGAGUAAUACAUCGGAACGUGCCUAGUAGUGGGGGAUAGCCCGGCGAAAGCCGGAUUAAUACCGCACACGACCUACGGGUGAAAGCGGGGGACCGCAAGGCCUCGCGCUAUUGGAGCGGCCGAUGUCAGAUUAGCUAGUUGGUGGGGUAAAGGCCCACCAAGGCGACGAUCUGUAGCUGGUCUGAGAGGACGACCAGCCACACUGGGACUGAGACACGGCCCAGACUCCUACGGGAGGCAGCAGUGGGGAAUUUUGGACAAUGGGCGCAAGCCUGAUCCAGCCAUGCCGCGUGCGGGAAGAAGGCCUUCGGGCUGUAAACCGCUUUUGUCAGGGAAGAAACGGUCUGCACUAACACUGCGGACUAAUGACGGUACCUGAAGAAUAAGCACCGGCUAACUACGUGCCAGCAGCCGCGGUAAUACGUAGGGUGCAAGCGUUAAUCGGAAUUACUGGGCGUAAAGCGUGCGCAGGCGGCUUUGCAAGACAGAUGUGAAAUCCCUGGGCUCAACCUGGAACUGCAUUUGUGACUGCAUGGCUAGAGUGCGGCAGAGGGGGAUGGAAUUCCGCGUGUAGCAGUGAAAUGCGUAGAUAUGCGGAGGAACACCGAUGGCGAAGGCAAUCCCCUGGGCCUGCACUGACGCUCAUGCACGAAAGCGUGGGGAGCAGACAGGAUUAGAUACCCUGGUAGUCCACGCCCUAAACGAUGUCAACUGGUUGUUGGACGGCUUGCUGUUCAGUAACGAAGCUAACGCGUGAAGUUGACCGCCUGGGGAGUACGGCCGCAAGGUUGAAACUCAAAGGAAUUGACGGGGACCCGCACAAGCGGUGGAUGAUGUGGUUUAAUUCGAUGCAACGCGAAAAACCUUACCUACCCUUGACAUGCCAGGAACUUGCCAGAGAUGGCUUGGUGCUCGAAAGAGAACCUGGGCACAGGUGCUGCAUGGCCGUCGUCAGCUCGUGUCGUGAGAUGUUGGGUUAAGUCCCGCAGCGAGCGCAACCCUUAUCAUUAGUUGCUACGCAAGGGCACUCUAAUGAGACUGCCGGUGACAAACCGGAGGAAGGUGGGGAUGACGUCAGGUCAUCAUGGCCCUUAUGGGUAGGGCUACACACGUCAUACAAUGGCCGGUACAGAGGGCUGCCAACCCGCGAGGGGGAGCUAAUCUCAGAAAACCGGUCGUAGUCCGGAUCGCAGUCUGCAACUCGACUGCGUGAAGUCGGAAUCGCUAGUAAUCGCGGAUCAGCUUGCCGCGGUGAAUACGUUCCCGGGUCUUGUACACACCGCCCGUCACACCAUGGGAGCGGGUUCUGCCAGAAGUAGUUAGCCUAACCGCAAGGAGGGCGAUUACCACGGCAGGGUUCGUGACUGGGGUGAAGUCGUAACAAGGUA
This 1488-nucleotide ribosomal RNA is filed under the name metagenome. RNAcentral describes it as "bacterial SSU rRNA". It matches the Rfam family "Bacterial small subunit ribosomal RNA". The record is from RNAcentral.